Molecule: transfer RNA, 82 nt
Filed under: Paramuricea clavata
Lineage: Eukaryota; Metazoa; Cnidaria; Anthozoa; Malacalcyonacea; Plexauridae
Rfam family: tRNA
About the family: Transfer RNA (tRNA) molecules are approximately 80 nucleotides in length.
Source: Rfam by way of RNAcentral
GGAAGAGUGGCCGAGUGGUCUAAGGCGCUGGUUUUAGGCACCAGUCAUUUGGAUGACGUGUGUUCGAAUCCCACCGCUGCCA